GAAAAGUGCAUAGGUCUAACUUGCAGGCAUAAAACAGUGUGUCAUGUCUCAUUUCAUAGAUCAAUCAAUAAAAACAGAGGAUUUUUAACUUUAAGGGCAGAGGUAGUAUAUACCCAAAAAGAAAACUUAUCAGAGAUGGAGAGGAGUCUGAGUGCCAACGAUGGCCGCUUGGAUUACCAACGACUGGAACACGGUUCAAAAUGCACAGAGACAAAAAGGAGUUCUAAUCCUGUAAAAUUUCAAAUCUCUCUCGUACUUCCUCUAUGUUUGUGAACUCAUUUCCUUUUUUGUCUGUUCCAAAAAUAAUGAAUUCUUUCUAAAUUUGGUAACAAUUUAGCUUAAAAUUACAACUUUAUCCUUAAUGAGAAGCUUUUAUAACCACACAAAUACUCUGGGCUCCAUUUAGACUUGUCUAGGACAACAAAUUACAAACUCUUCAUUUUUUUCUUAAACUUGUGCACAUAAAUUGAAACGGAGGCAGUAUCAGAUAUCUAACAGCGGUUUUUAUCCCAGAUGAUCUCCUGAAACUGAUAAAAAAAAAAUUCCAUCUCAAGCAUCAAAUCAGAUAGUUGCUUUAAUCAUUUUGUUUCUAGCUAGAGAUGUUUGCACCAAUCAAGGGGAUCAUAUCACCCUAAUAGAGUUGCUAUUUACAUGACCAGAAAGAGAAAUCAGAAAUACUUGAUUACGCAUGUUUUCCCUAAGGUCAGUAGAAUAUAUAUAUAUAUAUAUAUAUGUAGGAUGCUAGUUCAAACUUAGAGUGAUAUUUAUGGAAUCUAAAUAUUCAAUUUCAUGUGUGUGAAUUUGUGUAAAUUGAAAUGUUGGGUAAAUGAUGAAUACCGAUUUGCUUAGUGGAUAGCCGUUCGCUAAGUAUUGAUUUUUUUUUCUUUUUUGCGGAAAUUGCCUAUAUAUUGUUCCUGAAGAUGGAGGAAUAACACAAACAAGAAGGUGACUCUUUCUCUUUAUAUGGUUAUUUGGUUUGUCAAGGAGCAUGAUAUAUGCCAAAGUUUGAUUAUUCAUCUAAGUUGCUACUGCUAAACUAUAGAAGUGGUGACAUGUACUUGCAACCUUUUAAAUUUUUUUUAGACAAUAAACAAAGUUCUUUUAUUAAUUAAUCACUAGUAACUGAGUAAUCCAGAAACAAUCCUGUUGCGUAAACCUUAACAUCAUUCAAUUGAAAGCAUAAUGUAUAUAUCUAAAAAAUUAUAGAACUUCACAAAGUAGGGGGAAAAAGAUUGAAAGAAUACAAGGUCCAAAGAUUCCUCUUUAACUCUAACAAGACAUGGUCAGCAAAAAUAAUUCAAAUGGAUUCCGAUUGUGUUUUCCCCAACCCAACUACAAACUAACAUGAAUAAAAACUUUAUUUUCUGAAUUGCCAUGAAAUUAUGCAUCUCAACUCAGUCAAAUUAUUCCCUAUAGAUUUCACCUAUUCCUUUUUUUUUUUGUGCGAAACAUAAUAUUGCAUUAAACAUAAAUAAAAUUACUAGAGAGAGGGUGAUGCCUGUGCAUCGAUAAUAUAGUUGUUUUCUAGUUGUCUAUUACAAGGAUUAAUACUAUCUAUUCUAAUGUUGUUAUCCACCACAUUGUCUCCAUUGGAAGCAGUCAUUCGUUGAUCAUUGUCAUAGAUUACAAAAGUGUUAUGAUUCAUGUCCUCCUCUUGUUCCUGAUGUGUGCAUGUUGUCUUCCUAAAGCGAGUUGCUCCUUCCUGAUCCCUUUGCAAAAAGGUGCUCACAAAAAUCCGGUGGCUCUUCAAAAAUAGAUGGUCUUUCAUUAGAGGCCAUGUUGCAUCCCGCCUUUGCUAAACCAUCAGCCACCUCAUUCCCCUCUCUAUAGGUAUGUGCAAUGGUAACACUAUGCAGUUGGUCCAAGAGGUACCUGCAAUCAGUGAGUAUAUUAGUAUAAAUGAUGUUGUCCUUUUUUAACAUUGUAAGUACCUCUGAUGCAUCGAUGUUUAUUUCCAGCGGGACCAAAUUGUAUCUGUUUGUCAAUUUCAGUCCAUGGAAUAGGGCCUUUAGUUCUGCCUGGAUGAUGGUGGCAUUGUCCAAAUUGCCUGCAAAACCUAUAAUCUAAUUUCCAUUUGAAUCGCGUAUGGUUCCUCUUAUACCUGCUUUCUGAGUUAACGUUGAUAUAGCUCCAUCCGUAUUUAAUUUGUAGUAGUUUGGUUUAGGGGGUAUCCAUUUGAUAGGUUGCAUUAUAGGGAUUUUGGUUGUUGCUACCUUUGCAGCUAAAUAGGUAAAUUUCAGUGCAUGGUUAGUAAUUUUUUUUAAGUGAUAUGUGUUGUUGUGUAUUAUUAAAAUUGUGAUUGUUAUGAUUAAUCCAAAUAUCCCAUAAUGUGUACGAAAUAAAAGUUUUGCUAUUUAUACGGUAAGGCAUGUUGUUGUACUUUGUAAUAAUGAGUUUCAUUAACCAACCUGAUGGAUGAGAGUAUGUAGUUAUAUUGUUGAUAAAGUUUGGUAUACCAAGUCAUUCCAUAUAUGUUUUAUGUUAGAACAUUCUAAAAAUAUAUGAUUAAUAGUUUCCAGAUCUAUAUUACAUAUUUGACAUCGGUCAUCUACUGUGAUUCCUAUAUGAUUUAGGUAUUUUUUUGUUGGCAACCUGUUAUGCAUUACAAGCCAAAGGAAUAUUUUUAUUUUGGGUGGUAUUUGAAUCUUCCAAAUCCAAUUAUAAGUGGAUGUGUGUUGUUGUAAUUUUAAAUCCUGCUGUAGUAAUUGUGAAUACAUUGAUUGGACAGUAAAUUUACCAUUGUUGGAUAGUCCCCAAGAGAUAGUAUCCGCUUUGUUUGUGUAGAUAGGUACAUUAAUCCUGUUGAAUUCAUUUUUAAAAGAGUUUGUAAUGUGAAAAGGUAUUUCUGCCCAUUUCCAAUUAUUAUGAUCUCUGUAAGUGUUGAUAGUCCUUGUAGUAUGUUCUAAAGGUAUAGGACCAUGUAAUAAAGAUCUAACUGUGGUGUUCGAAGCAUUCCAUGGCUCCGUCCAGAAGUUUAUUUUUGAAUUCGUACCUACCUGCCAUUGAAUGCUACUUUGGCAUUUUUCCC
Molecule: long non-coding RNA, 3028 nt
Filed under: Nicotiana tabacum (common tobacco)
Lineage: Eukaryota; Viridiplantae; Streptophyta; Magnoliopsida; Solanales; Solanaceae
Description: long non-coding RNA (NTAB_LNC000171)
Source: RNAcentral